This 1306-nucleotide long non-coding RNA is filed under the name Salmo salar (Atlantic salmon). RNAcentral describes it as "lncRNA (ENSSSAG00000116597.1)". Lineage: Eukaryota; Metazoa; Chordata; Actinopteri; Salmoniformes; Salmonidae. The record is from RNAcentral.
UGGACAUUACCGCAGCAUGUGUUAAGACUCAUCACUAGUUAACACAGCCCCAAAGUUAGAAUGAUGGCUAAACCCUGCCCAUUUCUACAAUUUCUCUUUUUUAUAUUUAUUUUUUGGGGGGUUUUUUGUGGCUUUUUUUUUUACUUUGUGACUGUGGAAUCUGACUUAAUGGUUGUUAUCUAGUGGAAACCCUGUCCCAUAGAAGUUAGUCGAGGGGGAGGAGUUUCAGUACUUCCUCAGUUGUCGGAGUUAUGCUGCCCCUGACAUACACACAUUAUCUUCUCACAAACACACUCUCUUCUCACACACUGUCACACACUCUGUUCUCACACACUGUCAGAAACUCUCCCGGCUGCGUUCAUUACAGUCCGUUGCUCUUUCCAAACACAGGGACAGGAGCAGAAUGACUGGGCUUUAACCUGGUGGAGGGGAAAGUUUCCCUCACUGGGGGUAAACAGACUGAGGACACACUGGGACUACUAUACUGGACUACUGUACCAAUACCACCCUCAUGACGAAUGAAGUGACAGGAGAGAGCAGACAGCAGGACAGAGGUUGGUUCCACGUCACCUUGCCGUCAGUACCCACAGCCUGGAGCUGAGGCUAGUCGGUCACUAACAUGAGAAGACAGAGAGCAGUAACUGUCUCGUUCAGACAGACACUGCUGCUGUAGGUAUAUCUAUAUGAUAUGGGUAACAGGCUAUCCCAUGAAGACAUCUCCCCUGCUGAGCUGGAUGCACUAUGGAGAGAACCACCGUACACACUAGCGGGAACCAAUCAGCACUUCCCAGGGAAUGAUGUCAUGAAUCCAGGGGUGGAGUCUGGGAGCGGGGAGGUAGAGUCGGAUAGUUACUGGAAGAGGAAGGAGGCGUUCACCAGAGGAAGCACCGUGUCACUGGCCGUGGGAGAGAGGUUCUCCUCAGACGUGGUGCUGGUGUUCAGCGGUCGGCGGCGCUCAGGUGUAAUACCUGACUCUGAGCUACAGGAGGCGCUCCGUACCAGACUCAGGGUCGUCGAGAGCAACAGUCAGGACGUCAUCCAGCUCUUCAAGGACCUGUCUGCCCGUCUGCUGUCUGUCCACGCUGAGAAGGACAGCUUUGUCAUCACCUUCAAGACUGUAGAGGAGAUGUGGAAGUUCUCUACCUACCUGGCUCUAGGCUAUGUGGCGCGGUGCCUGGAGAAUUUCCUGUGUGACCAGUCGUUCUGGCUGGACACUGAGCUGCUGAGGGACCUGGAGAUUACUGUGACUGUAGAUGAGAAACACCUGGCCACACUCUACCUGGGACUGCUGCUGCAGGAGGGGUGA